UGAAUGGGGAAUUUUUGGUAGGAACCCUAGCUAAGUAGAUAAGAACGAGAUAAAAGUAGAGAUGAUAAUGUUUCAUUUCUUGCCCGAGCAGAGUGCUGGGUCACUUAUAUAGUCUUACAGAAUUACAGAGUUGGUGGCCUUCAGCCGUUGGAUCUAGGCUAGGGCUCUCAGCCGUUGGAUCUACAUAACUGUACCAAACGUUAUCUGCUAGACUGAUGAAUGGUUAAACUGAAGAAAUGUUCAGAUAGCAGGGUUGUGACAAUGCUCCCCGUGGAGAUCACACUUGUCCUCAAGUUGUGUUUUGUGGAAACCAGGAUCGGAUCGUUUGUUUGAAGAAUGCUGGGAACACUUGCUUGAUGAAGUUUGCAUCCUCCCAAGAUGUUUCAUUAGGUUCCAAGUUGGCCCAUCGGAUCAGCCACUGAGUGACCAAAACCCCUUUGCGUGGCAAGGAUCGUGUUUCCAAUACAGUGAUUAGCUAAGUUCUGAUCUUGCCAUCUUCUCCCACCAGUGGCAGUUCCUGUUCUGGGACAGCAUGGGUGCCUUUAUGGCCCUUGAGCUGACUAACAUGGAAAACCGGGUGGAUUUGAAUAUGGGAUGGUAAUAGAAGUUUGUAUGAGGAGUUGCCUACUUUCUUCAAGAUUCGAAAAGGCCCAUAGAACUUGGUAGUGUGCUUGAUAGCUUGCCUCAAUCCGAAUGAUGCCAUUCUGUAGGGUUGCAUUUUGAGGUAUACCAUAUCCCCUUCUUGGAAUGAUCUUUCACUCCUGUUCCUGUCAGCAUAUUUUUUUCAUUCUUUGCUGGGCUUGUUGCAGAUUUUCCUUCAAGUGUGUUAUUGUCUUCUGUUUCUCUUCAAGUAAUUGUUGGGCUUCAGCAUCGGGAGGUCCUGGGACAGCCACUUCACUGAUCAUGGGUGGUUCAUACCCAUAUAACGCCUUGAAGGGGGUUUCUUUAGUAGAAGUGUGAUAGGAGGUGUUGUACCACCACUCCGCUAAUGACAACCAAUCAGCCCAUUUCUUUGGUUCCUUGAAUGUCAUGCAUCUCAGAUAUGGCUCGAGGCAUGGUUAACUCGCUCGGACUGACCUUCUGUUUGUGGGUGGUGAGCAGUGCUCAGUUUGAGUUGAAAAUCCAUAGAUUUGAAUACUGCUUGCCACAUGUUGCUUGUGAAGAUCCUAUCUCUAUCAGUUACAAUAGACACUGGUGGUCCAUGCAAUUUGAAGACAAUGUCGAUGAAAGCUUGGGCCACUGUCUGCACAUUGUAAGGGUGGGGUAAUGCAAUGAAAUGGGCGUACUUUGUAUAUCUAUCCACCACCACCAAAAUUACCUCUUUUCCCUUAGACUUAGGGAGCCCUUCCACAAAGUCCAUGGUUAUAUCAGUCCACGCUUGGGUUGGGAGUGGUAGGGGAUCCAGCAGGCCAGGAUAUUGGCAAUGUUCUGACUUUGCUCUCUGGCAAAUAGCACACUCAGCAAUGAACUUGUGCACCUGCUUUUUGAGGCCAGGCCAAUAGAAGAUCCUUUUGAUCCUUUGGUAGUUUGCCACCAUUCCUGAAUGUCCCCCAAGGGCAGAUGUGUGAAAGGAGUUUAUUAUUUGCUCUUUGAUGUGUUCUUCCUUGCCAAUAUAAAUUCCGCCCUUAUAUCUCAAGAUGCCCCCUGAUAGUGUAUAAUGAGAUGUUUUAUCAGGAGCAAUGGCCAAUUGUUGCAGCAAAUGCUGACAGUGCUCAUCUUGCUCAUAACUGUUCUCCACAACCUCAAUCCAGGAAGGUGUGAAGGUUGUGAUUGCCAUGAGUGUAUUAUCUUUUCUGCUCAAUGCAUCGGCCACUUUAUUUUCUUUCCCCUUCUUGUAUUCAAUGGAGUAAUUGAACUCCAACAGCUUGAGUAGGAGUUUGUGCUGCAGCCCUUCAGAAACUUUCUGCUUAGUGAUAAACUUAAGACUUUUUUGGUCAGUUUUUAUGACUAAUUCCAGUCCCUGGAAGUAGUGCCUCCACUUUUUAAGGGCUUCCAAUAUUGCCAAGGCUUCUUUUUCAUAAGUUGACAUAGCAGCAGCUUUCAUGCCCAAUGUUUUGCUGAAAUAUGCUAUGGGUCUACCAUUUUGCAUCAAUACUGCACCUAUACCAUACCCACUAGCAUCAGUUUCCAGUACAAAUUUUUCUUUGAAGUUUGGUAGGGCCAGAACUAGGCAGUGGUUAGUUUCUGUUUUAGCAAAUUGAAGGCUUCAGUUUGCUCCUCUGUCCAGUGGAAGGAGUUCUUCUUGAGGAUGUUGUGGAGUGGUCUGCAAAUGAGCCCAUAGUUGGGAACAAAUCUUCUAUAGUACCCAGCCAUGCCCAAGAAACUUCUCAGUUGAGUGAUUGUUUUUGGUAAGGGCCAAUCUCUCACAGUGGAUACCUUGGUAGGAUCGGUGGCUACGCCAGCAUAAGAGAUAAUAUGGCCAAGGUAUUCCACUUGGGGAGCAGCAAACACACAUUUGCUCAUUUUAGCAUAUGAUUGCUGUUCCCUCAAGAUUUGUAGCACUAUCCUCAAGUGCCUAAUGUGGUCUUCCAGUGUCUUACUAUAGAUUAAGAUAUCAUCAAAGAAGACGAGGACAAAGUGCCUGAGGUUCUCCUUGAAAAUGAAAUUCAUCAAUGCUUGGAAUGUGGCUGGUGCAUUAGUAAGGCCAAAGGGCAUGACCAGGUACUCGAAAUGCCCCAAGAAUGUAGUGAAGGCAGUUUUGGGUAUGUCUUCCUUUUUCAUCCUUAUUUGGUAAUACCCAGAUCUGAGAUCUAUUUUUGUAAAAUAUUUGGCCCCAUGCAAUUCAUCCAACAAAUCUUCAAUGAUUGGUAUUGGAAAUUUGUUUUUGAUGGUUUGGUCAUUGAGUUUUCUGAAAUCUGUGCACAACCUCCAGGUGCCAUCUUUCUUUUUGACAAGCAAUGCAGGAGCUGCAUACGGACUAUCACUAGGCCUUAUGAUUGAAGCGUCUAGUACUUGUUUGAUCUGUUUUUCCAUCUCUUCUUUUUGGUGAUGAGGCACCCUAUAAGGUCUGAGUGCUGGUGGCUCAGAUCCUGUUUUGAGAGGGAUUGCAUGGUCAAAACCUCUUUGAGGUGGAUGUUCCGUUGGUUUUUCAAACACAUCCUGGAAUUCUUGUAGUACUUCCUUCACAGAGUUUUCUAUUGGUGCCGUUUCUGUUUUAUCCUUGGCCUUCGGAAAUAGGAAAUAUCCUUCUGUUAUUUUAUUCUUACUGGCUAUCAAUUUGUGUAAGGAGAUUGGAGGGAUUCCCUUGGCAAAUGUCUUAUCCUAUAGAGUAAUUGUUUUCUCUCUCUUCCAGUUGAUUGUCAUCAGCCUCUCAUCAAAGUCUAAGGAUAUUGGGUUGUGCUCCAACAGCCAAUCACAACCCAAAAUAAUUCCGUACCCUUUCAGUGGGAGUAGUUUGAAACUGUUGGAGAACUCAUGGCCUUGUAUGGAGUAAUUUGCAGAAGGAAUGUGGGCUCCUGUCUGCAACUUACCCCCACCAGCAAUAUGGACUGUCUGCAAAUCAUUCCUAGCAAUAGUGCAUUUAGUUGUUGUUGCAAAGGAUAGAUCCAUAAAGGUGUUGGUGCUUCCUGAGUCCACCAGUGCUAGCCCCUUUUUGCCUCCAAUAUCCACCCACAUGGUGAAGGUAGCCGCCGUGCUUUUUCCUCUAACCACUUGCAUGGAUAUCAGCAUGAGUUUCUCAUCAAUAUUUGGUGAAGUAGUUGGUUGUUCCUCGUCUUGCUGGUAGUUGUUAUUCUGCAUUUGUUCAUCCAGCUCUAAUUCUUCUUCUUCUGUGGCCAUCAGAUUGAGAGUUUUGUAUUGUGCACAUUUGUGUCCAAGAAACCACUUUUGUCCAUAGUACCUGCACUGCCCACGUUCUCUGUAUUUUACUUCUGGCCUAGUACUCUGCCUAUCUGCUAUUCUGGUGUUAGCAUAGUCGACUGGUUUUGGUUUAGUGGGUAAGGUAUUUGUGGCAGUGGUCUUUUGAUAGUACCCUGUUUGCUGGUAUUUUCUGGACUGGUUAGAAGCAUUUGCUCCCUGUUCCAUGUCUCUGGCAGUCUCUACUGCAUUAUAGAGAGAGGCUGGCUUAAAUGGCUUGAGGUAGUGUUUAAUUUCUUCUCUUAAACCAUUGAUGUAGCACUUGACAUAAUACUGCUCUUUUACUUCAGGGUUUUCUUUCUUGUAGCAUGCUAUUUUGUCUUCAAAUCGGUCUGUGUACUCUGCUACAGUACUGGCCCCUUGUUUGAUUGAGUUGAAAUCAGCUACUGCUUCAUAAGAGCUGCUAUCAGCAAAUCGUUUGCACAAUACUUUGCAGAAUUCUUUCCAGGUGGGGUUUUCUUGGAGUAUGCCAGAGUUCCUCAACCAAGUGUCAGCUCUCCCAAUGAUAUACAUCUGAGCAUAGUCAAACUUUGCACUUUCGGGUACAAACACCAUUGCAAAGUAUUUCUCUGUGAGCCUUAACCACUCUUGUGGAUUGGAGCCAUCAAAUCUGGGAAACUCCAUCUUCUGCGCUUUUGCAGUGGAUUUGUAGAACUGAGCCUCUUUGUCAAAUUCUUGUUAUCUUUCUCCCCUGAAGUUACUGCCCCCUGCUCUAUCAUGAUAGCUCAUUGGAGGAGCUUGUUGCUGGUAAUGUUGCUGUUGGGGUUGACCAGUCGCAAGGUUUGGGUGUGGGGGGUAUUGUGGUUGAAGUUGAGAGUGGGGAUAUUGGCUAUUGGGCGCAUUAUAUUGCUGUUGGGGUGGUGGGUAAUGACAGGGAAGUUGGUGUUGAUAGUUUGGUUGUGGUUGGUAAGUAGGUAGGAAGUUGUUGUUCUGUGGGGGGAAAGGUAGGAUUGAAGUGGUUGUGUUGUGGGGGGAGUUGAUUGUGUUGUGGGGGGUAAACAGGAGGUGGUGGAGGGUAAACUGGGGGUGGUCUAUAAAUGGGGGGUUGGUGAACUGGAUAGUGGGUUGGGUUUUGAGGGAAUUGGUUUUGGUUAUACUGUUGUGUCAUGGGUUGUUGACAAUCCCAAUGGGGCUAUUGGCCAGUAGGCAUGGAAGUAUUGGCUCCUUCUGGGAAUAUGGGAAACUGUGGGUCUGUCCAUUGCUGGAAUUCCCUUCCAGAUGUUUCAAAAUACAUCUGCUCUGGACCUUCUUCAUUGGCUUCUCCCCUUGUGUAAUUAACUGGCUCCUGAGAUGGCCCACUUCUUCUUCUCCAGUGAGGAAUUUCAGUAUGCCAAAUCACAGCUUCCUCUUGACCAGGGAUGGGUUGGGUUUGGGGUCUCUGGCCGGUCUCAGCUUCUCUUCCUUGGUCACAGGUUGCUGGGGGAGUGCUUGGCCCAUGCUUCUCCUUCAGCAGGGAUUCCAUUCUCUUCAUGCUUUCGUUCAACGCUGCCACUUGCUCUUGCAUCCCUUCCACUUUAUUGUUGAUCUCAUUGGUUCUUGCCCCCACGUUGUCUAACUCGAGCUUCAUGGCUGCCACUUCCUGGGCAUCUGCCUUCUCCUCCUGAGUCUUCGAUUUCGCCAUCAGGUCACAAGCAAGGUACGGAAUUUUACCUGGGCACUCGUCCCGAACCCUUCCUGCUCGUGGCCUGCUGCCGCCGCCUCUAGGUUGCGCCUCCAGAAGACGCACGGAUCUGCCUGGGUCGUGGGAUUUUACCACCGCAACGUUGUGCUACAGCAACCGCACCCCCGCUACAGACCUGCGUCUGAACUAGUCUACCGCCGCCUAUGCCUCCCCGAGCUCCACGCCGCUGCCAAGCUCCACCGAAGACCAACGGCUACUGAUACCAAUUGUCAGAUCCCACUGGAGAUCGACAAGGAAAAUGACUCCCGAUGUUGGAGCACUCGCUAUGAAUGGGGAAUUUUUGGUAGGAACCCUAGCUAAGUAGAUAAGAACGAGAUAAAAGUAGAGAUGAUAAUGUUUCAUUUCUUGCCCGAGCAGAGUGCUGGGUCACUUAUAUAGUCUUACAGAAUUACAGAGUUGGUGGCCUUCAGCCGUUGGAUCUAGGCUAGGGCUCUCAGCCGUUGGAUCUACAUAACUGGACCAAACGUUAUCUGCUAGACUGAUGAAUGGUUAAACUGAAGAAAUGUUCAGAUAGCAGGGUUGUGACAAUGCUCCCCAUGGAGAUCACACUUGUCCUCAAGUUGUGUUUUGUGGAAACCAGGAUCGGAUCGUUUGUUUGAAGAAUGCUGGGAACACUUGCUUGAUGAAGUUUGCAUCCUCCCAAGAUGUUUCAUUAGGUUCCAAGUUGGCCCAUCGGAUCAGCCACUGAGUGACCAAAACCCCUUUGCGUGGCAAGGAUCGUGUUUCCAAUACAGUGAUUAGCUAAGUUCUGAUCUUGCCAUCUUCUCCCACCAGUGGCAGUUCCUGUUCUGGGAUAGCAUGGAUGCCUUUAUGGCCCUUGAGCUGACUAACAUGGAAAACUGGGUGGAUUUGAAUAUGGGAUGGUAAUAGAAGUUUGUAUGAGGAGUUGCCUACUUUCUUCAAAAUUCGUAAAGGCCCAUAGAACUUGGUAGUGUGCUUGAUAGCUUGCCUCAAUCCGAAUGAUGCCAUUCUGUAGGGUUGCAUUUUGAGGUAUACCAUAUCCCCUUCUUGGAAUGAUCUUUCACUCCUGUUCCUGUCAGCAUAUUUUUUUCAUUCUUUGCUGGGCUUGUUGCAGAUUUUCCUUCAAGUGUGUUAUUGUCUUCUGUUUCUCUUCAAGUAAUUGUUGGGCUUCAGCAUCGGGAGGUCCUGGGACAGCCACUUCACUGAUCAUGGGUGGUUCAUACCCAUAUAACGCCUUGAAGGGGGUUUCUUUAGUAGAAGUGUGAUAGGAGGUGUUGUACCACCACUCCGCUAAUGACAACCAAUCAGCCCAUUUCUUUGGUUCCUUGAAUGUCAUGCAUCUCAGAUAUGGCUCGAGGCAUGGUUAACUCGCUCGGACUGACCUUCUGUUUGUGGGUGGUGAGCAGUGCUCAGUUUGAGUUGAAAAUCCAUAGAUUUGAAUACUGCUUGCCACAUGUUGCUUGUGAAGAUCCUAUCUCUGUCAGUUACAAUAGACACUGGUGGUCCAUGCAAUUUGAAGACAUUGUCGAUGAAAGCUUGGGCCACUGUCUGCACAUUGUAAGGGUGGGCUAAUGCAAUGAAAUGGGCGUACUUUGUAUAUCUAUCCACCACCACCAAAAUUACCUCUUUUCCCUUAGACUUAGGGAGCCCUUCCACAAAGUCCAUGGUUAUAUCAGUCCAUGCUUGGGUUGGGAGUGGUAGGGGAUCCAGUAGGCCAGGAUAUUGGCAAUGUUCUGACUUUGCUCUCUGGCAAAUAGCACACUCAGUAAUGAACUUGUGCACCUGCUUUUUGAGGCCAGGCCAAUAGAAGAUCCUUUUGAUCCUUUGGUAGUUUGCCACCAUUCCUGAAUGUCCCCAAAGGGCAGAUGUGUGAAAGGAGUUUAUUAUUUGCUCUUUGAUGUGUUCUUCCUUGCCAAUAUAAAUUCCGCCCUUAUAUCUCAAGAUGUCCCCUGAUGGUGUAUAAUGAGAUGUUUUAUCAAGAGCAAUGGCCAAUUGUUGCAGCAAAUGCUGACAGUGCUCAUCUUGCUCAUAACUGUUCUCCACAGCCUCAAUCUAGGAAGGUGUGAAGGUUGUGAUUGCCAUGAGUGUAUUAUCUUUUCUGCUCAAUGCAUCGCCCCUUUAUUUUCUUGCCCCUUCUUGUAUUCAAUGGAGUAAUUGAACUCCAACAGCUUGAGUAGGAGUUUGUGCUGCAGCCCUUCAGAAACUUUCUGCUCAGUGAUAAACUUAAGACUUUUCUGGUCAGUUUUUAUGACUAAUUCCAGUCCCUGAAAGUAGUGCCUCCACUUUUUAAGGGCUUCCAAUAUUGCCAAGGCUUCUUUUUCAUAAGUUGACAUAGCAGCAACUUUCAUGCCCAGUGUUUUGCUUAAAUAUGCUAUAGGUCUACCAUUUUGCAUCAGUACUGCACCUAUACCAUACCCACUAGCAUCAGUUUCCAGUACAAAUUUUUCUUUGAAGUUUGGUAGGGCCAGAACUGGGGCAGUGGUUCGUUUCUGUUUUAGCAAAUUGAAGGCUUCAGUUUGCUCCUCUGUCCAGUGGAAGGAGUUCUUCUUGAGGAUGUUGUGGAGUGGUCUGCAAAUGAGCCCAUAGUUGGGAACAAAUCUUCUAUAGUACCCAGCCAUGCCCAAGAAACUUCUCAGUUGAGUGAUUGUUUUUGGUAAGGGCCAAUCUCUCAUAGUGGAUACCUUGGUAGGAUCGGUGGCUACGCCAGCAUAAGAGAUAAUAUGGCCAAGGUAUUCCAGUUGGGGAGCAGCAAACACACAUUUGCUCAUUUUAGCAUAUGGUUGCUGUUCCCUCAAGAUUUGUAGCAAUAUCCUCAAGUGCCUAAUGUGGUCUUCCAGUGUCUUACUAUAGAUUAAGAUAUCAUCAAAGAAGACGAGGACAAAGUGCCUGAGGUGCUCCUUGAAAAUGAAAUUCAUCAAUGCUUGGAAUGUGGCCGGUGCAUUAGUAAGGCCAAAGGGCAUGACCAGGUACUCGAAAUGCCCCAAGAAUGUAGUGAAGGCAGUUUUGGGUAUGUCUUCCUUUUUCAUCCUUAUUUGGUAAUACCCAGAUCUGAGAUCUAUUUUUGUAAAAUAUUUGGCCCCAUGCAAUUCAUCCAACAAAUCUUCAAUGAUUGGUAUUGGAAAUUUGUUUUUGAUGGUUUGGUCAUUGAGUUUUCUGAAAUCUGUGCACAACCUCCAG
RNAcentral lists this long non-coding RNA (8674 nucleotides) under Triticum aestivum (bread wheat). Its description in RNAcentral is "long non-coding RNA (TAES_LNC016105)". Lineage: Eukaryota; Viridiplantae; Streptophyta; Magnoliopsida; Poales; Poaceae. The record is from RNAcentral.